This is a non-coding RNA of Oncorhynchus mykiss (rainbow trout), 1313 nucleotides long. NCBI's taxonomy places the organism in Eukaryota, Metazoa, Chordata, Actinopteri, Salmoniformes, Salmonidae. The record is from RefSeq and is a predicted model, not a curated record.
UAUGAAGAGGAGAGAUGAUGAUCAGGACCAGGUGUGCAGAUGGCUGAUGGGAUACAGGUGCGGGUAAUCAGAAACCCCAACUGGCUACAUUGCCCGGCAACCAGACAGGGUGCGUUCCAGGACGCUGGAAAAAACACUCCAGGACAGAACAUAGGCAAAAAACAGACUCAGGAAACGGGAUUCGUGACAGAAACAGACGAUAUUCUACCAUUCUGUACGAACGUCUUUACCAGAACUCCAAACAACACAAGCAGCUUUAACACACAGACACACCCCCCUGGAACCUCCAGCCAAUCAAACAUAAUCUAGCCCCUAAGACGCAUCGCACUACUUUGGCACAAGUGCAUCGCAGAAUCAGCGAGGCCCGAGAGGGGCGCCUGGUCUGAAAAUGAUUCAAGAACAUGGAUACAGUUUGACCCCAUUAUACAUUUGUUGAUAGAAUAUGUUAAAACAAUGUCAACUAAUGUUUAAUUUCAGACUCCAACAAUAUCUAUACAAACAGAAUCUCCAAAGCCAGAGGAGAAAGGGGCGCGGUAUCCAGGAUUCCUCAGAACAGCGUCAAAAUAACACAGCUCAUUUAACUAUAUAUUGUUAAAAUGUUAAUAUAUAUUUUUUAUAUAAUAUAUAUUUUAUUUUUAACACCCUAUUUUGUAUAUAUUUUUCUUUCAGAGUCCUCCCAGGCGUAUACCACCACAGAAGGCCCAAUACGUGGAGAGGACGUGGUCGAGGAGGAAUUCGGCGCCCAGGACAGACAUAGUAAAAUAUGAGUAAAUAUUGAAGUCUGAUAGUUUCAAGGCUUUAGUAAACAACACUUCUGAGGUAGACGAUUUGUUGAUGUAUGAGGUGGCCAAACAGCUUGAUACAGCCAAUUCUGAGGUAGACGAUUUGUUGAUGUAUGAGGUGGCCAAACAGCUUGAUACAGCCAAUUCUGAGGUAGACGAUUUGUUGAUGUAUGAGGUGGCCAAACAGCUUGAUACAGCCAAUUCUGAGGUAGACGAUUUGUUGAUGUAUGAGGUGGCCAAACAGCUUGAAUGAGACAGGGCCGACAUCUCCACCUAUAAUUCAGACACUUGAAAACCUGUUAUUACAGAUACCGGCAGAACUCAUAUCCUUAAUUAACCAAAUGAAUGAGAGGACAACAUCCUUAACACCCUCCCUGCCACACACACACCUCCUUAAACUCCCAUGUCCGAGGAGUCUGAGCAACCACACAAUGUUUUUGAGGAAUUGGAAAAUGGUGUAAUAAAUCAGUGUCGAUGGUUUUGAUAGAAGUGUUUGUGUUGUUUACAGAAAUAAAUACAGCAAUACAGAGA